RNAcentral lists this ribosomal RNA (460 nucleotides) under uncultured bacterium. Its description in RNAcentral is "partial 16S ribosomal RNA". It matches the Rfam family "Bacterial small subunit ribosomal RNA", at positions 338 to 795 of the family's 1533-position model. The record is from RNAcentral.
CCUACGGGUGGCAGCAGUGAGGAAUAUUCGGCAAUGGGCGCUAGCCUGACCCAGCCAAGUAGCGUGAAGGAUGACUGCCCUAUGGGUUGUAAACUUCUUUUAUAUGGGAAUAAAGUGCAGUAUGUAUACUGCUUUGCAUGUACCUUAUGAAUAAGGAUCGGCUAACUCCGUGCCAGCAGCCGCGGUAAUACGGAGGAUCCGAGCGUUAUCCGGAUUGAUUGGGUUUAAAGGGAGCGUAGGCGGGUUGUUAAGUCAGUUGUGAAAGUUUGCGGCUCAACCGUAAAAUUGCAGUUGAUACUGGCAGCCUUGAGUACAGUAGAGGUAGGCGGAAUUCGUGGUGUAGCGGUGAAAUGCUUAGAUAUCACGAAGAACUCCGAUGGCGAAGGCAGCCUGCUGGACUGUAACUGACGCUGAUGCUCGAAAGUGUGGGUAUCAAACAGGAUUAGAUACCCGAGUAGUC